AUCCAAGGAAGGCAGCAGGCGCGCAAAAUUACCCACUCCCGGCACGGGGAGGUAGUGACGAAAAAUAACGAUGCGGGACUCUUUCGAGACCCCGUAAUUGGAAUGAGUACACUCUAAAUCCUUGUACGAGGACCUAUAGGAGGGCAAGUCUGGUGCCAGCAGCCGCGGUAAUUCCAGCUCCUAUAGCGUAUAUUAAAGUUGUUGCGGUUAAAAAGCUCGUAGUUGGAUCUCAGUUCCAGACGGGCGGUCCGCCUUACGGUGGUCACUGCCCGGCCUGAACAACCAGCCGGUUUCCCUAGAUGAUCUUUACUGAUUGUCUUGGGUGACCGGCACGUUUACUUUGAAAAAAUUAGAGUGCUCAAAGCAGGCGCGACGCCUGAAUAAUGGUGCAUGGAAUAAUGGAAUAGGACCUCGGUUCUAUUUUGUUGGUUUUCGGAACACGAGGUAAUGAUUAAGAGGGACAGACGGGGGCAUUCGUAUUGCGACGCUAGAGGUGAAAUUCUUGGACCGUCGCAAGACGAACUACUGCGAAAGCAUUUGCCAAGAAUGUUUUCAUUAAUCAAGAACGAAAGUUAGAGGUUCGAAGGCGAUCAGAUACCGCCCUAGUUCUAACCAUAAACGAUGCCAACCAGCGAUCCGCCUGAGUUCCUCAAAUGACUCGGCGGGCAGCUUCCGGGAAACCAAAGUCUUUGGGUUCCGGGGGAAGUAUGGUUGCAAAGCUGAAACUUAAAGGAAUUGACGGAAGGGCACCACCAGGAGUGGAGCCUGCGGCUUAAUUUGACUCAACACGGGAAAACUCACCCGGCCCGGACACUGGAAGGAUUGACAGAUUAAGAGCUCUUUCUUGAUUCAGUGGGUGGUGGUGCAUGGCCGUUCUUAGUUGGUGGAGCGAUUUGUCUGGUUAAUUCCGAUAACGAACGAGAUUCUAGCCUACUAAAUAGGCGUUCCGAUCACUCGAGUCGGACGUUCUUCUUAGAGGGACAAGCGGCGUUUAGCCGCACGAGACAGAGCAAUAACAGGUCUGUGAUGCCCUUAGAUGUCCGGGGCCGCACGCGCGCUACACUGAAGGAAUCAGCGUGUGCUUUCCCUCUCCGGCAGGAGUGGGUAACCCGAUGAAACUCCUUCGUGAUAGGGAUAGGGGCUUGUAAUUGUUCCCCUUGAACGAGGAAUUCCCAGUAAGCACGAGUCAUAACCUCGUGUUGAUUAAGUCCCUGCCCUUUGUGCACACCGCCCGUCGCUACUACCGAUUGAACGAGUUAGUGAGGUCUUCGGACUGGCACUCGGUGCGGGCCUCCGGUCCGCGUCGUCCUGCCGGAAAGAUGACCGAACUUGAUCGUUUAGAGGAAGUAAA
This 1351-nucleotide ribosomal RNA is filed under the name Tetrablemma thamin. Its description in RNAcentral is "SSU rRNA". It matches the Rfam family "Eukaryotic small subunit ribosomal RNA", at positions 414 to 1786 of the family's 1831-position model. Lineage: Eukaryota; Metazoa; Arthropoda; Arachnida; Araneae; Tetrablemmidae. The record is from RNAcentral.